AUGCUGAUUGGCCGAGGCUGCCGGGUGAAGUGGACGUUGAUUGGUCAGUUCAAAGCCAGCUGUCAGAAGGUAAAUAAAACGACCAUCAAGAAGGAAGAUCAAGACUACAGCACCAAGUUUAAAGACGAUAUUUACAACGAAAUAAUGAACCAGAUGAGGGUUGAGUGAUGGACGGAGCGCUGGAGGCGGCGAUGCGUCUUACGAAGAACGUCCACCGCAGUGGAGACGGACGAUCAACCUUAGAGCAGCGGUGAACUGUUGGUGCUGGUACGACCAUCACAUGCUGCUGUUGUUGACUCUACAGACUUGUGUGUGUCCAGUGGUGCGUCGUUGAGCAGUAAUGAUGGUUUGCUGGUUCUUCCCUGAGGUGUGGUCCUAGGUAUGACAAAGGUGCUCCCACUACCA
This is a non-coding RNA of Cherax quadricarinatus, 405 nucleotides long. The record is from RefSeq and is a predicted model, not a curated record. NCBI's taxonomy places the organism in Eukaryota, Metazoa, Arthropoda, Malacostraca, Decapoda, Parastacidae.